This 455-nucleotide ribosomal RNA is filed under the name uncultured bacterium. Its description in RNAcentral is "bacterial SSU rRNA". It matches the Rfam family "Bacterial small subunit ribosomal RNA", at positions 335 to 784 of the family's 1533-position model. The record is from RNAcentral.
ACUCCUACGGGAGGCAGCAGUAGGGAACCUUCCACAAUGGGCGCAAGCCUGAUGGAGCAACACCGCGUGAGUGAAGAAGGGUUUCGGCUCGUAAAGCUCUGUUGUUAAAGAAGAACACGUAUGAGAGUAACUGUUCAUACGUUGACGGUAUUUAACCAGAAAGUCACGGCUAACUACGUGCCAGCAGCCGCGGUAAUACGUAGGUGGCAAGCGUUAUCCGGAUUUAUUGGGCGUAAAGAGAGUGCAGGCGGUUUCUAAGUCUGAUGUGAAAGCCUUCGGCUUAACCGGAGAAGUGCAUCGGAAACUGGAUAACUUGAGUGCAGAAGAGGUAGUGGAACUCCAUGUGUAGCGGUGGAAUGCGUAGAUAUAUGGAAGAACACCAGUGGCGAAGGCGGCUACCUGGUCUGCAACUGACGCUGAGACUCGAAAGCAUGGGUAGCGAACAGGAUUAGAUA